UCAAGGAGGCCGCGAACCGGCCCUGGGUACUCAACGUGGAUGCCAUGUUGUCCGAGUUCCUAGGGGGCCCAGGAGGGGGAGGGCCGGGGGUGGCGGGGGCUGCAUCGCUCAAGUCCAUGGGGGUAGCUUCCGCCGCGUCCGGUGUGCCAGGAGGAGGGGCGGGAGGUGGGGGAGGGGCUGGGGCUGGGGGAGGGAUGGGCGGGGCAACAUCGCUCAAGUCGAUGGGGGCCCUUUCUGUCGGUUCGGUGGCGGGAGGGAGUUUUUAGGGGUACCUGCCUAGGGAUUGACACGCCCCAGGUGUCUUUCUUUUAUAUGUGUGCUUAGGGCGGCUCAGCUGGAAAGUGAUAGGACCCGGCUGGCCGGCAGUUGACAAUGACCUCGUUUGUGUAACCAGGGCUUAUGUUGGAAGGACGUGCGUAUGUGUGUACACGGUGGAUGUGCUUUCCGGAUCAAUGCUUUCUUUCUAUAUUCGUGCUCGCCGUUGAAACACGGCCAACGAGCAAUGGCGUAUAAACUAUGAUGCCAUGCAUGUUUGCCUAUGGGGUGUUAGGUAGGUAGGUAGGUAGGUAGGUAGGUAGAGGGCCGAAAGCCAGAAUGUGCUUUAGGGGCCCAUAUGCGCGAGGAUUGUGGGAGAGAGGCGUGUGUGUGCGUGUGUAUAUCUAUGUGUGUGUGCAUGCACAAGGCAUAAGCCAGCGCUGCAUGCAUUUUUGAACUUUGUGAUUCCAAAAUAGCAGCGGGGAGGAUCAUAUCGGAUAGCUGUGACGGGAUUCAUGCAUGCUACAAGACCGUUCAUGUCUGUGGGUUCGUUACCUUUAGAAGGGUGACGCCUGGUAACGCAACUCAAGGUAUACACAAGUCAAACUGAGGAUGUGCAGGGUAGUGCACUCGUGUAGCCAUAUCGCCAUGCCACCGCAGCUAACGACGCACGAGGAGGGACCCGGUUCGGGUGGGGCCCCAAGGUGGUGCCAGUCCCGCAGAGGCGGAAACACGGAGCGCGACAGCCCACCUGUUGCAGAUAAGAGGUUUUUGACCGGUUUGGGGCCCACCGCAGUGCGGCCCACGACUUGAUACGAGGCAUUGAUAAAUUUACCAGCUGGGGCCAACAAGUCAGUUAUGCAAGUGUACUGUCGAACGCUCCUGCCCUUUGUCCCCUUCGUAAAAGGCAAGCGUUUCAAAGGUAUAGCCUGAGUUAGCUCUCGAGGGUCUCACCCCGGGAUGUACCGGGAUGGCACCGUCAGCGGGCUGGGCACAAAGUACGGUUUAGCUAGGGACGACAAGCAUGGCCCUGGUCGGGGUAGUUGGCAAAUCCAAGACAAGGGAUUGUGCGUAAGGACGUGUAACACAGCACGACGGUUGAUAGGCACUUGCGCAGUGCGAAAAUGGUAGCAGCGUACGACACCCUUGUCUUUGUUGUUUUGAUAGCUUCUGGAUAAGCAGUUGUAUGGAGAGUUCCUUUGCUUGGAAAGCGGCAUGC
RNAcentral lists this long non-coding RNA (1474 nucleotides) under Volvox carteri. RNAcentral's name for it is "long non-coding RNA (VCAR_LNC000098)". The record is from RNAcentral. Lineage: Eukaryota; Viridiplantae; Chlorophyta; Chlorophyceae; Chlamydomonadales; Volvocaceae.